AAAGGUCUUUUCCCCCAGAUGGUUAGAAUCUAGUGCAGGAAAGCCCUCAUCUCUUACACAGAUUUUUACUUGUGCAACCCAGGAGGAUCAAAUUCUCAAGAAUGCCUUGGAGGAGGCAUCAUUCCAGAUCAUAUUCCCAACAAUGAAGGAGGAGGAACAAAGCAACAGCCAUGCUCGCCCAAUUAGAAGGAUGAGACAUGGCUUUGGCCCAGACAGCUGUGGUGCAGAAUAUAGCAUACCAUUCCCGUGGCAAGAAGGAGGCCAGUGUCCGAAUAAGAUGUGUAAUGAUAAUAUUCCCUGUGAUAUAGUCCUCAUAUGUCCACUUCUCUCUAUAAAGGAUGUCCAUUUCUCCAGAUUGUCCAGUGUCUUCCAGCCCGAGGUGCAGUGCUGCAUCUCUGGUCAGUUGUGAGUCUGAGAUGAAGCACUGUAGCUCGGGAAGGUGGAAAUCUGCUGCCAGAAAGAAGAGGACUGAAAAAGGACAUCUUAAUCAGCAAAUCUGUUCAAGAAAAGUAUACAUCUGAUGUGCAUUACAGUCCAACUCUAUGUAAUUCCAUGUUAUUCACAUUCAUCAGAAAAAAAAAUUGUUCCUGUUUAUAGGAGGCCUACGUAGGCCAUUAAUCUUUUUCCAGCUGUUUAUAGGUCAUCUUUGUCGUGAACAGGAGCACAUAUUCCUGCCGCAGCUAUAGUCAUUCAUUGUGAUUGUUUUCUUCAAUAAUUGUAGCUUAACAGUACCUGCUCUGGUGUUGUGAAGCUUGGUUACUUUUCAGGAAGAUGCAUUAACCGUCUUGUCACCUGGUCCUCACGGUCCAGUUUUCCCAGGAAUCCCUUGGGUGUUGUGGUGGGGAUUCCUGGAAAUACUGUUCUUGGGGUCUAGGAUUUGCAGCCAGGAACAUCAAGACCUUCAUCAAUGUCAUAUUCUGCGUUUAUCCACAGGUUUUUCCCUCUUUAAUCCCAUGUUCUGUUUAGGCUAAACUACAUAUAUAUCAUUAUGAAGGAGCAACGGAUGAGCUUCAAUAGAGAACAACGGAAAUUUCUCCUUUUUCUUUUUGGUAAUACAUCCAAUGUAAAACAUCUCAAAUGUAUUAUUGUCAGCUAAGUUCUCCAUAAGGAUUAGUGAUAGCUGACUGUCUUUCAGUGUGAUUAAGAUGUACAAUGUUGUUGAAAGGACAGAAUCUCUACAGUAUAUAUUUGACAAUUGCCUUUUCGUUAUUUGUUUCCUUUCCAUGUCUUUCUGUAAUCCUCCAUAAGCCCAAAGAGAUUAAAUCAAUCACUUUGGUUCCUCAAUAAAAUAUUUUCUAUUAUUAGACA
Bufo gargarizans (Asiatic toad) is the source of this 1308-nucleotide long non-coding RNA. RefSeq lists it as uncharacterized. The transcript has 3 exons. NCBI's taxonomy places the organism in Eukaryota, Metazoa, Chordata, Amphibia, Anura, Bufonidae. The record is from RefSeq and is a predicted model, not a curated record.